AUGGUGGUGAUCCUCUGCUUCUUUACUCUGCUAAUUCAGAAAGUAGUGCCAGUAAUACCAGUGUUGUUAAUUGCUACCCUUUUGGAUUCUGGCAACUUCAUUUUACAACAAGUGAACUCCGAUGGAUCAACAAAGAGGGUGUUGUGGCAAAGUUUUGAUCAUCCCGGAGACACCCUUUUGCCAGGUAUGAAGUUAGGUGUGAACCAUAAAAAUGGUCACAUUUGGUCACUGACAUCAUGGUCUAGUCUAUACAGUGCAGAACCGGGGGCUUUCACUCUUGAUUGGGACCCUGGUGAGCAUCAUUUGAAGAUCAAGCAACGAGGGAAGGGUACUUGGAGUAGUGGUGUCUUUACUAAUGGAAGAUUCGAGUUCCUAAUACCUGAUGAUGAUUCCAAGAAGAUGAGUGUUGCAUCACAAUGGGUGCUGAACAUCAUGGGGAGACUACAUGACUUUGAUACCAAGGUUGAUAUUGCGAGAGCAGAUUACUGUUACGGCUACAACAGUGAUGGAGGUUGCGAGAGAUGGGAGCAGCCAAGUUGCAGACAUGUUGGUGAUAAGUAUGUGCUAAAAACUGGUUACUUUCAAGCAGUAUCCAGCUCCAGUUCCAUAUAUACUAGUGAUUCGAAUACGAGUCUGGGAUAUAGUGAUUGUGGGACUACUUGUUGGAACAACUGUGGCUGCCUUGGAUUCAACUAUCGGCUUAAUAAUAUGACCGGAUGCCAGUUUUGGAGUGGAAACUGGGAGUUCAUUGAAGACCUCACUGAUGAUGACUCACGUGUUUUUCUUUAUACAACAAAGUCGACUCCCAAUAUCAAAGUACAUCAGUGGAGAUGGAUUGGCACUGGUAUUGCGUUUGCUGAACUGGUCAUGAUGUUUUGCAUUAUUUUUAUUUCAUUGAUGAUCUAUAUAGCUGAGAACAGGAGAAAGAUUCAGAAUGAGUUACUGAACCUAAUGAAAUCUAAUAGACCUGCUGAUAUGAACGGAGUUCAAAAUGAUGGAAAGAUGGAACAACAUGACUUAAGUGUAUUUAGCUAUGCAUCUCUAGUGACUGCCACGUGCAACUUCUCUGAGGAAAACAAGCUCGGAGAAGGGGGGUUUGGACCUGUUUAUAAGGGAAAAAUGGUGACAGGACGAGAAAUAGCUGUGAAGAGGCUUUCAGAAUGUUCAGGACAAGGAACUGUGGAGUUUAAAAAUGAACUGAGACUCAUAUAUGAACUCAUACAAAUCUUGCUCAGCUUUUUGGACUCUGCAUUCAUGGUGAUGAGAGGAUGUUAAUAUAUGAGUACAUGCCAAACAGAAGUUUGGACUACUAUUUAUUUGAUUCAACCAGAGCCCUGCUUCUAGAUUGCAAGACUCGUUUCAGUAUAAUUGAAGGAAUCGCUCAAGGAUUGCUUUACUUGCACAAGUACUCAAGAAUGCAAGUGAUUCACAGAGAUCUGAAAGCUAGUAACAUUCUACUUGAUGAAAAUAUGAAUCCCAAGAUUUCUGAUUUUGGUAUAGCAAGGAUCUUCACCCAUAAUGAACGAGAAGCAAAGAUUAAGACAAAGAGGAUUGUUGGGACAUAUGGUUACAUGUCACCAGAGUAUGCUAUGGGGGGAAUAUUUUCCAUAAAAUCCGAUGUGUAUAGUUUUGGAGUGCUAAUGCUUGAGAUCAUAAGUGGUAGGAGAAACACCAGCUUCUACGAUGAUGAUCGCGUGGUCAAUACAGUAGGAUAUGCAUGGGAGUUAUGGAAAGACGGUGCAGCGUUAGCGGUCAAGGAUCCAACAAUAGGUGAUUCAUGUCAUGAGGACCAAUUGCUGAGAUGCAUCCAGGUUGGUCUACUAUGUGUGGAGGAGAAUGGAGCCGAUCGGCCUACUAUGUUAGAAGUCAUUUCCAUGUUGACCAGUGAAAGCAUGUCACUACCUGCACCUACAAAGCCAGCAUUCUGUAUCGAGAGAAGAGGGGUCAGAACUGGUACUGUUGCAAAGGUUUCAGAAAAUGUAUCGAUAAAUACUAUGUUCAAUUCUGAUUAUGAUGCUCGUUAA
Molecule: RNA transcript, 2024 nt
Organism: Fragaria vesca subsp. vesca
Lineage: Eukaryota; Viridiplantae; Streptophyta; Magnoliopsida; Rosales; Rosaceae
Gene name: G-type lectin S-receptor-like serine/threonine-protein kinase At1g67520-like
Exons: 8
Source: RefSeq, a predicted model, not a curated record